Molecule: ribosomal RNA, 690 nt
Filed under: uncultured bacterium
Lineage: Bacteria
Description: partial 16S ribosomal RNA
Rfam family: Bacterial small subunit ribosomal RNA
Source: RNAcentral
GGAUAGCCGCCCGAAAGGACGGGUAAUACCGGAUACCCCGGGGUGCCGCAUGGCACCCCGGCUAAAGCCCCGACGGGAGGGGAUGGCUCCGCGGCCCAUCAGGUAGACGGCGGGGUGACGGCCCACCGUGCCGACAACGGGUAGCCGGGUUGAGAGACCGACCGGCCAGAUUGGGACUGAGACACGGCCCAGACUCCUACGGGAGGCAGCAGUGGGGAAUCUUGCGCAAUGGGGGGAACCCUGACGCAGCGACGCCGCGUGCGGGACGGAGGCCUUCGGGUCGUAAACCGCUUUCAGCAGGGAAGAGUCAAGACUGUACCUGCAGAAGAAGCCCCGGCUAACUACGUGCCAGCAGCCGCGGUAAUACGUAGGGGGCGAGCGUUAUCCGGAUUCAUUGGGCGUAAAGCGCGCGUAGGCGGCCCGGCAGGCCGGGGGUCGAAGCGGGGGGCUCAACCCCCCGAAGCCCCCGGAACCUCCGCGGCUUGGGUCCGGUAGGGGAGGGUGGAACACCCGGUGUAGCGGUGGAAUGCGCAGAUAUCGGGUGGAACACCGGUGGCGAAGGCGGCCCUCUGGGCCGAGACCGACGCUGAGGCGCGAAAGCUGGGGGAGCGAACAGGAUUAGAUACCCUGGUAGUCCCAGCCGUAAACGAUGGACGCUAGGUGUGGGGGGACGAUCCCCCCGUGCCGCAG